AUACGGAGGAUCCGAGCGUUAUCCGGAUUUAUUGGGUUUAAAGGGUGCGCAGGCGGGAGAUUAAGUCGGCGGUGAAAUCUUGCAGCUCAACUGUAAAAGUGCCUUCGAAACUGGUUUCCUUGAGUGUAGAUGAAGUAGGCGGAAUUUGUGGUGUAGCGGUGAAAUGCAUAGAUAUCACGAGGAACUCCGAUUGCGCAGGCAGCUUACUAAACUACUACUGACGCUCAGGCACGAAGGCGUGGGGAUCAAACAGGAUUAGAUACCCUGGUAGUCCACGCAGUAAACGAUGAUUACUAGCUGUUUGCGAUACAAUGUAAGCGGCUGAGCGAAAGCGUUAAGUAAUCCACCUGGGGAGUACGUUCGCAAGAAUGAAACUCAAAUGAAUUGACGGGG
This 393-nucleotide ribosomal RNA is filed under the name uncultured bacterium. RNAcentral's name for it is "partial 16S ribosomal RNA". It matches the Rfam family "Bacterial small subunit ribosomal RNA", at positions 523 to 918 of the family's 1533-position model. The record is from RNAcentral.